This 235-nucleotide unclassified non-coding RNA is filed under the name Hevea brasiliensis (rubber tree). Lineage: Eukaryota; Viridiplantae; Streptophyta; Magnoliopsida; Malpighiales; Euphorbiaceae. The record is from RNAcentral.
UUUCAAAGUCGCUUAAUCUAUCAAUUGCAGUCAUCGUCUUGAAGUGACCACCCACAUAAACCAAUAACUUCAGAACUAAACCAAAAGCUAAUUAAGGGGUUUUGCUUAACUCAUUAACUAUGCUAAUUUAGUUAAGAAUUAAACAAUAAUAUAAUUAAAAAAAAAAGACAAGCAAAAAUUAUGAAAUUAUGGCUACAUAAGUAAGGCAUUGAUGUCCUUCCCUUUGGGAAGCUUA